AAGUGUUUCCAAUAUCACUAAAGAUGUAUCUCAUGGUUGUGUUUUUUGGUUUUGUUUGAAGUGUUUAAAGCUACUUCAGCAUUUAACGUACUUCAUUAUAUUCUGAAGUAAAACAAUAAAAAAACUGUACAUAUAAUCCUCGAUUUACAAUAUGGUUAUGUCCCAAUAAUCCCAUGGUAAACUGAAAAUAUGUUAAGUCAAAAGGCAGCGCAGAGCCUUUGGUUAAGGAAUCACAAAUCUGUAUUUAUGAAUGAAAACUAUAGUACUCUUGGUUUUAACAAAAUCAACAGAAGCUGCAAAGAAGUCCUCCAUGCAGAGAUCCUAUGAAGAGCCUCCUUUCUAUAUAACCUAACUAACAUCUGCACCAGACUGUCCACAUUGAAGAUGGUGGAUUUAUUCUUUCAACUCAUGCUAUAAACAGUUAAUAUAACAAGUAUUUAACUUUCCAGGAAAGCAUGAGCAAGGGCUGCUUUCUUUAACUUGCUGUUUUUCCGAUACUCUUAGAAAUCUGCUGUCUAUUCCUGUCUACAAUGAUUCAGCAAUGAGGAAACAUUGACAGAGUAUCUGCUAUGUGCUAGUCACUGUAGACUUCCCCAUCUAAUCUCACAACAAACCUGUCAGGUCUAAAAGAGUCAUGGAGAUGCUGUGGUGAGGGGAGAGGCCAGGCUUAGAGACCUUCAAGAUCUUCAACACCCCCCCAACCCCAACUCUGCACUCCAAAUGGCCACUCUCCAAACACACCCCUGGAAAACAACCAAUGCUCCUCAGAGUGUUUGACUCCUGAUACCACUUAUCUGGUGAUAAGAACUUUUGGGCCAGGCACAGUGGCUCAUCCCUGUAAUCCCAGCACUUUGGGAGGCCAAACCAGGUGGAUCACUUGAGGUCAGGAAUUCAAGACCAGCCUGGCCUGCAGCAUGGUGAAACCCCUUCUCUACAAAAAAUAUGAAAAAUUAGCCAGGUGCGGUGGUGAGUGCCUGUAAUCCCAGCAACUCGGGAGGCUGAGGCAGGAGAAUCACUUGAACCUGGGAGGCAGAGGUUGCAAUGAGCUGAGAUUGCGCCACUGCACUCCAGCCUCGGGGACAGAGCAAGACUCAGUCUCAAAAAAAAAAAAAAAAAAAAAAAGAACUCAUGGAACUCUCCAAAGAGCAAAGAUAAUUAACUGAAAAACUAAAACAAAACAAAAUGAAAACACAAAAACUCCCUUUAACAUGUAUGCAAUCUGUUUGAAUAUAGUCACUUGAGCUGAAAAGAUGUUCACAAAAGCACAGAGUGGCUUCUCUGGCAUUAAAACAAGAUUGAGAAUCACUGCUUUAGUGUAAAAUCACCCCCUGCUGGGCCUCAUCUCCAUUUCUCUUACACUGGGACUGGUAGGCCAGCUAUCAAAGAAAACAUCUGAGUAGGUCGGUCUCUACGGAGGUCAGCACCAACCAGCAAGGCCAGGUUCCUUGCCUAGAAAACAGCUCUUAAGGUUAGCACAACCUACCUAAACCGACGCCCACUUCCCUCUCUGGUGAGCCAUCUCCUGCCCUCCCCUUGGACAAGCCCCUACUCUAGCCACCCUGGACACCAUGGCUGGAGUCCCAUACUUGACUUUCUCCUCUGUCUACACUGAAACACAGCCAAUUUUAGCCAGUAAAUGUUAAUCACCUUAGAGGAUCUCAGAUAAGGACAACACAAAUCCACUCUUUUGCAGCAGCUCUAAUGUUAGGGGUCUCAAGUUUUAACUAAAGUGUCCUGACCUCCCUCACUGUGGAAAGGCCUAAAACAAGUCUGAAGGGUAAUGGAUUAGAAACAGACAGUUGAGCUGAAAGGAUGUUGGCUGCAAAUCACCACGGGCUUGGUAUCCAACAAAUUCACAUGGUCUGGUCUGUUAGGAGCACUGGUAAAAGCCCUUAACAACUGGCUCUCUGGGUAAAGAAAAAAGGAGGGGUGGGAAGCCCAGAUUUGUGGCAUUUGCUCAUUUCAUGGUAUUAAAUGGUAUCCCACCAUGGCAGAUUUCAAAAUAUCAACUUGACAUCAACCAGCUCACAAAAUCCUGAAAAAUGUAAUGAUUAGCGAGUGUGAGCCAGCACAACUGAGGAUGCGGUCUGAUGUCAGGCCAAAGAGAAUAUAAGUAUUAUUCACUUCAAAUUUAAAUAUGUAAAACUGGCAAAAAAAUUCAAGUGCCUCAAGGCCUUCUUUUUAAACUUAGGCACAGAUACUAGCAAGCUUUACCCAUAUCAAUAAACUGGGCCGGGCGCGGUGGCUCACGCCUGUAAUCCCAGCACUUUGGGAGGCCGAGGCGGGUGGAUCACGAGGUCAGGAGAUCAAGGCCAUUCUGGCUAACACUGUGAAACCCCGUCUCUACUAAAAAUACAAAAAAUUAGCCGGGCAUGGUGGCGGGCGCCUGCAGUCCCAGCUACUCUCCAGGCUGAGGCAGGAGAAUGGGGUGAACCCAGGAGGCGGAGCUUGCAGUGAGCCGAGAUGGCGCCUGGGCAACAGAGCGAGACUCUGUCUCAAAAACAAAACAAAACAAAAAAACAAAAUAAACUGAUACAGCCAAUGAAAACAAUAAUACAUUACUCACCUUAUAAACAGUGUCCACAUAAUUUACUGUUCAAACUAGAGUUUCUGAGAGUGUUAUAUGAGACAACAGGAGUAAGCCAGAGCUGUGUUAGUCAAACUAGGACAUGACUUCUUCUUUUUUAGAUGUACUAAUAGUAGCUUCUUGCCAAAGGGCUUCUUAUUACUUCAUGGUGGAAAACAAUGUUUUAUUUAUGUAGCUAUUUACCAUCCAGGCAGGUAACUUAUUGAGUACCACGGGUGACUAUUAUGCUUCGAG
This 2821-nucleotide long non-coding RNA is filed under the name Homo sapiens (human). RNAcentral describes it as "HSALNT0140988". Lineage: Eukaryota; Metazoa; Chordata; Mammalia; Primates; Hominidae. The record is from RNAcentral.